UCAGAAUUGACAAGUGCCGGGUGGUGAUU
RNAcentral lists this non-coding RNA (29 nucleotides) under Rattus norvegicus (Norway rat). The record is from RNAcentral. Lineage: Eukaryota; Metazoa; Chordata; Mammalia; Rodentia; Muridae.